Molecule: long non-coding RNA, 316 nt
Organism: Nannospalax galili (Upper Galilee mountains blind mole rat)
Lineage: Eukaryota; Metazoa; Chordata; Mammalia; Rodentia; Spalacidae
Exons: 3
Source: RefSeq, a predicted model, not a curated record
CUGAAAUCCUAUGUUUGUCUAGUGACUUCAAACACAGGCACCUGAUGCCUUGAGCAGGAGAGCAGAGCAAUGGAUUACAGGACCACACAUCAGAAAGUACAGGAUUGGGAAUGAAGAAGGCUGGCCUACAAGAAUAAGGAGUACUAUGGAAGAUCCCCAUUAUGGACAGUUCCAACACUUCUGAAGGGAAGUUAAUGCUUUCUGAAAAUUUACAAAGCUAAAGUAAGACAAAGUGAGCAGUGAUUUGUUGCAUGAGAAUGCAUGUUAAGGGUCACGAGAGAAAGUAACAUAGGAGAAUAGUCAUUUACACAUGUCU